UACAGAGGGUGCGAGCGUUGUCCGGAAUCACUGGGCGUAAAGGGCGCGUAGGCGGCGGAGUAAGCGUGCGGUGAAAGCUCGGGGCUCAACCCCGAGUCGGCCGUGCGAACUGCUCUCGCUCGAGCAUUGUAGAGGUCGAUGGAAUUCCGGGUGUAGCGGUGGAAUGCGUAGAGAUCCGGAAGAACACCGGUGGCGAAGGCGGUCGACUGGGCAAUGGCUGACGCUGAGGCGCGACAGCGUGGGGAGCAAACAGG
RNAcentral lists this ribosomal RNA (254 nucleotides) under uncultured bacterium. RNAcentral describes it as "partial 16S ribosomal RNA". It matches the Rfam family "Bacterial small subunit ribosomal RNA", at positions 524 to 776 of the family's 1533-position model. The record is from RNAcentral.